RNAcentral lists this ribosomal RNA (213 nucleotides) under uncultured Hyphomicrobiales bacterium. RNAcentral's name for it is "uncultured Rhizobiales bacterium partial 16S ribosomal RNA". It matches the Rfam family "Bacterial small subunit ribosomal RNA", at positions 29 to 269 of the family's 1533-position model. Lineage: Bacteria; Pseudomonadati; Pseudomonadota; Alphaproteobacteria; Hyphomicrobiales. The record is from RNAcentral.
AGCGAACGCUGGCGGCAGGCUUAACACAUGCAAGUCGAACGGGCACUUCGGUGCUAGUGGCAGACGGGUGAGUAACACGUGGGAACGUACCUUUCGGUUCGGAAUAAUCCAGGGAAACUUGGACUAAUACCGGAUACGCCCUUCGGGGGAAAGAUUCAUCGCCGAUAGAUCGGCCCGCGUCUGAUUAGCUAGUUGGUGAGGUAAUGGCUCACC